Long non-coding RNA from Piliocolobus tephrosceles (Ugandan red Colobus), 1731 nucleotides. The record is from Ensembl. NCBI's taxonomy places the organism in Eukaryota, Metazoa, Chordata, Mammalia, Primates, Cercopithecidae.
AUGCCUCCUUUGUCUAUUCAUCACAUAUAUAGAUAUAAAAAUUUAAUUCAUGACAAAAAUAUAGUAUACAAUUCAUAUUAUGAAAAAAAUGAGUAUAUUGAUAUAUGGGAUUUUCCAGUCGAGUUUGAUUCGUAUGAAGAUACUACAUACGAGUUGCUGAAUGAUAUAUUGGAAAUAAGUGAAAAAGACGUAUUUGCAGUACCUAAAGAAUUAGAAGUACAAGAAAUGGAAGAAAAAGAUUUAAUGUUAAUAAAUAAAACGCCAGUUGAAUAUACAUGUGUAUGGUUAAAUGCAGUUGAUAAACAGGAGCAGGGAACUUUUGAAGUAACUCCUAAAGAAGCACCGUUGUUGCCAUUCGGCUAUCAAAAAUUUAGAGUAAAAAACAUAAAAGGUUUAAAAAAAAAAUAUGUAUGUGAAGUAUACGAAUGUAUUGUGUUUCCGUCUAAUAACAAAGACUAUACGAAAUGUAACAGCAAGACAUUAUUAGCACCUUUUUUUAUAUAUGCUACUUUUUUUCAAUUUAAUACAAAAUAUAUAUGUGAAACAGAAAACGUGCAAGACAGUUUAGUUUUUUAUCCAAAAAAUAUAUCCUUUUUAAAUAUAAUUGAGGAAGAAUAUAGUUAUGCUAUUGUCAAAUUUGAAAAUAACUCAGAAGUUACUCAAAUUAUUGAUUUCACUCCAUAUAAAAAUGAAGCCGAAAGCAUAAAGGUAUAUCCACAAAUAAAUUAUGUUCCUAAAAAAAGCUUUUUAAAUGUAAUUAUUUUUUACUCCCCCAAAAAAAAACAAUCAAAUAACUCUGAAAUAAAAAUAUACUAUUUAGUAAAUGGAAUUGAAAAAAAUUAUAUAUCUGUUUUGGUUUCCCAUGAAAUGAACAACGUUAUGUUAAAUGCAGGAGAUACUAACAUAAACUUACCAUGUGUAGGUACCGAAACUGAAAGUUACAAAAAAGUGAAUAUUGAAAAUUUAACAGAAAGAAAUGUUUUAUGUGUACUAAUAAAAGAAGAUGUAGAGAAACUUGUUAAUAUUGAUAUAGAUGGGAAUAACGAUCCUGUUGAUAAUAAAAAAGAAACCAAUUUAAACGAAUUGAAUAACACAACUGUUGAUAAUGAAAAUAUAAAACAUAGUAGUUCAUUUAUUGAUGAUGAUGAAAAACUAUAUAAUUUUUAUUUUUUUUGUCUUUCACCUUUUGAAAAAAAAAAUAUACAUAUUUCUGCUAUUUGUAAUUUUAGUAUAACCAAAUCGAUUCCUUUACUCUUCAAUUAUUUAUUAUAUAUAAACGAUGCAGACAUGGAAAAUAAAUUCAUAUAUUUAAAAAAAAACAUGAAUGAUCAUAUAAAAAGUUCAAACAAGUUUUCUAUUAAUAUUAAUAUAGUAAAAAGUUCAUUAAUGGUUUAUCCGAAAUUAAUUGAAAGUGAAUUGAUUCUACCUGGAAAACAGUUUAAUGCGAAGAUAACAGUAAAAAAUAAACACCCAGUGAUUAUAAAUUUUAAGACUAAAACUAAAAUUGUUCAAAUAGAUGGCAUCGAUGUUUUUGAUGAAAAAGAAGUUAUAGAAGCAGAAGAAAAUAUAAUAUCAAACAAUAAUGAAUAUGUAAUAAAUCCCUUUUCUGAAAAAAAUAUAAUCGUGAGUUUUAACACUAGCCGAAAGGGGGUAUUUUUGUAUCGUUUUUUUGUCAUGAUAGCAGGUAAGAUAAAAAAAAAAAAAAAAACUGCCAUUUGUUUUAAUGUAUAA